Molecule: ribosomal RNA, 200 nt
Filed under: uncultured bacterium
Lineage: Bacteria
Description: partial 16S ribosomal RNA
Rfam family: Bacterial small subunit ribosomal RNA
Source: RNAcentral
AACGAACGCUGGCGGCAGGCUUAACACAUGCAAGUCGAACGCAUCCUUCGGGGUGAGUGGCAGACGGGUGAGUAACGCGUGGGAACGUGCCCUUCAGUUCGGGAUAACCCAGGGAAACUUGGGCUAAUACCGGAUACGUGCGAGAGCAGAAAGAUUUAUCGCUGAAGGAUCGGCCCGCGUCUGAUUAGCUAGUUGGUAGG